This 1374-nucleotide ribosomal RNA is filed under the name Hydrophilidae sp. BMNH 1274333. RNAcentral describes it as "16S ribosomal RNA". The stretch from base 1072 to 1230 matches the Rfam family "Archaeal large subunit ribosomal RNA", at positions 2544 to 2703 of the family's 2987-position model. The record is from RNAcentral. Lineage: Eukaryota; Metazoa; Arthropoda; Insecta; Coleoptera; Hydrophilidae.
CAUUAAAAAGUUAGUUGUGGAAAUCAAUUUAUUUUGAAUUUAAUUUUUUAUUAUUAGUUUUUUAAUAAAAAUAUUGAAAAGUUUUAUUAUAGUCAAAAGAAUAAAUAUUUAUUAUUAUAGUUUAUUAGUAUAGUGAUAGAAAAUUUUUAAAUAUUUAAAAGAAAAUUUUGUUUAUUGUACCUUGGGUGUCAGGGUUAAUUAAAAAUCAGUAAAAAAUUUUAUUUUUUCGAAAAAUUUAAGAGCUAAAUUAAUAUUUAUUUUAAUGUAGAAUUAUUAUUUUAUAUAUUUAUUUGGUAAUGAAAUGUUAUUCGUUUAAUUUAAUAUCUAGUUAUUUAAGAAAUAUAUUUAAUAUAGGUUUUAAUUUAAAAUUUUAUUAUUAAUAAUGAAAUUUUAAUUUAUAAUAUAAUAUUUAAAGGGUUGAGCUUUUAAUUAAAUUAUUAUAAGUAAAUAUAUAAUUUAAAAUUAAGUAGAAUUAGAAUUUUUAAUUUUUAUUAAUAUGUUAUAAUUAAGUUUUAUUUUAAUUUUAUUUAUAUUUAUUUUAAUUUUUUUAUUAAAUAAUAUUAUUUAAUUUUUUAAUUAUAGAUAUAAUGAUUAAAUUAGUAUUGGAUUUUGUUAAAUAAAUUUAUAUAAGAUAGAUUUAGGUAAGGAAUUCGGCAAAUAUUUUUUUCACCUGUUUAUUAAAAACAUCUCCUUUUGAAUUUGAUUUUAGGUCUAGUCUGCUCAAUGAUUAAUUAAAUAGCUGCAGUAUUUUGACUGUACAAAGGUAGCAUAAUCAUUAGUUUUUUAAUUGAAAGCUUGUAUGAAUGGCUGAAUGAGAAAAAAACUGUCUAUUUAAAAUUUACAAAGAAUUUUAUAUUUAAGUUAAAAAGCUUAAAUUUAGUUAAAAGACGAGAAGACCCUAUAGAGUUUAAUUAAAUUUAUAUUUAUUUGAUUAAAGAAUUUUAUUUUUAUAAAUAUAAUUUUUAAUUUAAUUGGGGUGAUUUUAAAAUUUGUUAAACUUUUAAUUUUUUUUACAUUAAUUAAUGAAUGCUUGAUCCAUUAUUAGUGAUUAUCAGAUUAAAUUACCUUAGGGAUAACAGCGUAAUUUUUUUGGAGAGUUCUUAUCGAUAAAAAAGAUUGCGACCUCGAUGUUGGAUUAAAAUUAACUAUUAGCGCAGAAGUUAAUAAGUUGGGUCUGUUCGACCUUUAAAAUUUUACAUGAUCUGAGUUUAAACCGGUAUGAGCCAGGUUGGUUUCUAUCUUUAAUUUAUUAAUAUGUUUUAGUACGAAAGGACCGGGCAUGUAUAAAAUUUAUUUUUUUUGUGGUUAAUAUUAAGAUUGUUAUUUUGGCAGAUUAGUGCAUUAAAUUUAGAAUUUAAUUAUGUAUAUUUAUAC